RNAcentral lists this long non-coding RNA (496 nucleotides) under Malus domestica (apple). RNAcentral describes it as "long non-coding RNA (MDOM_LNC011621)". The record is from RNAcentral. Lineage: Eukaryota; Viridiplantae; Streptophyta; Magnoliopsida; Rosales; Rosaceae.
UACAGUCAAUGAGUAAACCUUGAGUCAAUUGAACCACAUUAACUUUACCCAAGAACCCACAUUUCCAAACCCCAACUCUUUCUUUCUAUUUUUGGACUCUUUCUCGUGCUGAAAAACAAGAAAAAUCGGGAGUGGAGUAAAAGAUCGAAGAUCUGAAAGCGUAGAGCAGCUAAAUCAUUUGGGUUUUGAGAGUAAAAAAAAUAGUCUUUAAAUUUCAGCAACAGAGAGAGAGAGAGUCUUUGAGAAUGCAACAGAGGAAAAGUGUAAAACUCGAGAGAAAUCAGAAGGGAAUUUGCAGACACUGGGGGAGAGAGAGAAAGAGAAAGUUAGAGAGAGAGAGAGAGAGAGAGAGAGAUUUGAAAAUGAUAGAAGAAGAGACGUUAUCACCCAACAAGGAAUCGGGAGAAGAAAGAAGAAAACAAACCGCUGUGUGAGAGAGAGAGAGCUGCUGAGUGGCUGAUGAGUCCAAAGCUUGCGAAAAUUUCGCUCCUUUUCU